GUGUCAGCAGCCGCGGUAAUACGAAGGGGGCUAGCGUUGCUCGGAAUUACUGGGCGUAAAGGGCGCGUAGGCGGAUAUCUAAGUUGGGGGUGAAAUCCCGGGGCUCAACCUCGGAAUUGCCUUCAAAACUGGAUAUCUUGAGUUCGGGAGAGGUGAGUGGAACUCCGAGUGUAGAGGUGAAAUUCGUAGAUAUUCGGAAGAACACCAGUGGCGAAGGCGACUCACUGGCCCGAUACUGACGCUGAGGCGCGAAAGCGUGGGGAGCAAACAGGAUUAGAAACCCUCGUAGUCC
RNAcentral lists this ribosomal RNA (292 nucleotides) under uncultured bacterium. RNAcentral describes it as "partial 16S ribosomal RNA". It matches the Rfam family "Bacterial small subunit ribosomal RNA", at positions 505 to 796 of the family's 1533-position model. The record is from RNAcentral.